AGUGAACGCUGGCGGCAGGCCUAACACAUGCAAGUCGAACGGCAGCACAGUGGAGCUUGCUCCAUGGGUGGCGAGUGGCGGACGGGGGAGGAAUACAUCGGAAUCUGCCCAGUCGUGGGGGAUAACAUAGGGAAACUUAUGCUAAUACCGCAUACGACCUACGGGUGAAAGCGGGGGAUCGCAAGACCUCGCGCGAUUGGAUGAGCCGAUGUCCGAUUAGCUAGUUGGCGGGGUAAUGGCCCACCAAGGCGACGAUCGGUAGCUGGUCUGAGAGGAUGAUCAGCCACACUGGAACUGAGACACGGUCCAGACUCCUACGGGAGGCAGCAGUGGGGAAUAUUGGACAAUGGGCGCAGGCCUGAUCCAGCCAUGCCGCGUGGGUGAAGAAGGCCUUCGGGUUGUAAAGCCCUUUUGUCCGGAAAGAAACGCCUCGGAUUAAUACUCUGGGGUAAUGACGGUACCGGAAGAAUAAGCACCGGCUAACUUCGUGCCAGCAGCCGCAGUAA
RNAcentral lists this ribosomal RNA (506 nucleotides) under uncultured bacterium. Its description in RNAcentral is "partial 16S ribosomal RNA". It matches the Rfam family "Bacterial small subunit ribosomal RNA", at positions 29 to 523 of the family's 1533-position model. The record is from RNAcentral.